RNAcentral lists this long non-coding RNA (235 nucleotides) under Elaeis guineensis (African oil palm). RNAcentral's name for it is "long non-coding RNA (EGUI_LNC053093)". Lineage: Eukaryota; Viridiplantae; Streptophyta; Magnoliopsida; Arecales; Arecaceae. The record is from RNAcentral.
UAACCUUAGGUCUAAUUCAAUUAAGAGGACCUGAUCAAGCUAAUCCAUAGACCCAUGUUUUAUAUGAAUGUCAUUAGAUCUUUAAUUCAUAAUUCUAGAUUCAAUUAAUUCAAUUUAAUUCUUAAUUAAGUAUAUGAUUUAAUGGGUUUGCUGUUUAGAUUUAAAACAAUUUUAAUUUUUAAUUUUUAUAAAUAAUUUACAAUUGAUUCAGGCAAAAAUUUUCUGUUCUGAAACU